Molecule: long non-coding RNA, 803 nt
Organism: Osmerus eperlanus (European smelt)
Lineage: Eukaryota; Metazoa; Chordata; Actinopteri; Osmeriformes; Osmeridae
Exons: 2
Source: RefSeq, a predicted model, not a curated record
AGGUACUUACCACGGAGUUGUGACCCAUAUCGUUUUGGGCACUUUGUGCUGGGCAAGUUCCAGGAUUCUAGGAGGAGAGUUAGACACCAUCUCCCCAGGACAGACCAGAGUCUGUGGGAACAGCUCAAUGAGAAGCUAUUAUUGAAGCGGUAUUGUACUACCAGUCGUUGCUAUGUCACCGGGAGUCCUUAGCAACUUAUCACAUGGCUGGGACUGAGGCUUGGACUCCUUAAGAGCCUGCAGGCUGAAACUGGAGUCUUAUUGUCUCAGAAAGGCUUCUCUAUCUUGUGUCUCAGGACGUACCAUACAGGAUGUUACAAGAAAACAGAUAUGAGGUCAGCAAACGACAGUUGCUGAAGUAUUCAUGGUGAGCUGGAACUGACAGUGACUAUUAUAAUAUGACGCACAGUAUGAAAAAGGUUACAUACAUAUAUAUUUUUUACAAGUUUUCAUUUUUAUUAUUUUAGUCACCCAGUUGAAAACAUACAAAGCGUUGUAUCCGAGUCUAAUUAGGAAUGGAACCCUGAGUCAUUUCAGAUGGAUGAUAUGUAUUUGGACAAUCAAAUAUGUCUUCUGCAAUUUCAAUGUGUUCAACUACCAUGGUCUUAUUAAUGUGUUUAUACAGUGAAAUCUUUGCACAAACUAGGAUGCACAGCAGCACUCAUUUUGUCAGGUGCACCAACCUUGAACAUUAAGAUGUAGUCAGUCCAUAAAAUACAUGGAAAAGGUACUUUGGCAUCUUCCUGAAAUGCGUUUGUAUUCAUAGAUAAAUAUCAAACUUUGGAGUUGGGAAAAAUAUUUUU